This 276-nucleotide ribosomal RNA is filed under the name uncultured eukaryote. Its description in RNAcentral is "partial 18S ribosomal RNA". It matches the Rfam family "Eukaryotic small subunit ribosomal RNA", at positions 21 to 311 of the family's 1831-position model. The record is from RNAcentral.
UAGUCAUAUGCUUGUCUCAAAGAUUAAGCCAUGCAUGUCUCAGUGUAAACUUUUAAACAGUGAAACUGCGAAUGGCUCAUUAAAACAGUUAUAGUUUAUUUGAUACUCAUUUUUACAUGGAUAACCGUGGGAAUUCUAGGGCUAAUACAUGCGUAAACCCGCAAGGGAUGUGUUUAUUAGAUUAAAACCAUCACUGUAGCAAUACAGUAAAGUUGGAAUGAUAAUAACCGAUCGAAUCGCACGCUUUUGUGGCGAUAAAUCAUUCAAGUUUCUGAC